UUGCAGUCAAAAGCCCGACUCGUGACACGGCCUCUUCACAGCUGCAGGAGUCGGCACGCCUGAGGACAGGGCACAGGACCUGGACCUUAUCUAAAACAACCCAAAGCCAUGGAGAGAAAUAGGGAACAGGCAGAGAGAUGGUGACAUUGCCUGGUGGGGACUGUCCCCUCCUUGUGACGGGGUGUUUCAGCUCUGGCCCCCCAGGAAAGCGCAGAGGGCUCGUGAAUUGGGUCUGCACCUCGUGAAUUGGGUCUGCACCAGGACUCCAAUACCUGCCUGUCUUGCAAUACAACUCCUGGAAAUUCCAGCUGUGAAGGGAUGACUAGAGAUCUUGGACCUGUCCUGGCUCGGGGCCUCUCAUUGAUUCCUGUUUGGAUUAAAGCCAGGAACGGAGCCCAGCAUUCCUGAUCGUCGACCUCCUGUUGCUGGUUGUGCAGCAUCCUAGCAAAAUGCGUGCGGAAUCGCGCUCCAGGUGCGAACCGUCAGUGAGGCCCCAGCUCAUCCUCCAGCUCCAGGCUGG
Molecule: non-coding RNA, 520 nt
Organism: Anas platyrhynchos (mallard)
Lineage: Eukaryota; Metazoa; Chordata; Aves; Anseriformes; Anatidae
Source: RefSeq, a predicted model, not a curated record